Mycena vulgaris is the source of this 95-nucleotide non-coding RNA. Lineage: Eukaryota; Fungi; Basidiomycota; Agaricomycetes; Agaricales; Mycenaceae. The record is from the annotation of a GenBank genome assembly.
UCGGAUGUGGCGUACGGGACACCCUCGCUCAUCAUGCCCAGACUUUCUUUCGAUGCUUGCAGCGAGAGCCCGGGGUUCGACCCCCCGCGUCUGAA